Molecule: long non-coding RNA, 199 nt
Filed under: Elaeis guineensis (African oil palm)
Lineage: Eukaryota; Viridiplantae; Streptophyta; Magnoliopsida; Arecales; Arecaceae
Description: long non-coding RNA (EGUI_LNC008684)
Source: RNAcentral
CAAGCCAUUCUGAUUUCUAUUCCGGUUCCGAUUUCGAUUCUAGUUAUGAACUAGGGGGUGCUUGGUUCGCUACCAUAUUCAAAAUAGAAAUAAAAAUUUGAAUCCAUAUGAAAGAGUGGGUAUUGAGUUCUAAAUAGAUUAGACCAUUUCAAUUCUAUUUCAGAAUCGGAAUGGGAUCCUCCAACCAAACGGUUGGAAG